This 390-nucleotide unclassified non-coding RNA is filed under the name soil metagenome. RNAcentral's name for it is "partial contains 5.8S ribosomal RNA, internal transcribed spacer 2, and large subunit ribosomal RNA". The stretch from base 1 to 122 matches the Rfam family "5.8S ribosomal RNA", at positions 35 to 154 of the family's 154-position model. The record is from RNAcentral.
GAUGAAGAACGUAGCGAAAUGCGAUACUUGGUGUGAAUUGCAGAAUCCCGUGAACCAUCGAGUCUUUGAACGCAAGUUGCGCCCGAAGCCAUUAGGCCGAGGGCACGCCUGCCUGGGUGUCACACGUCGUUGCCCCCCCAUCUACUCCUUCGGGAUUGCGGGGGGCGGAUGAUGGCCUCCCGUGCGCCUCGUCGCGCGGUUGGCAUAAAUGCCAAGUCCUCGGCGACGCACGCCACGACAAUCGGUGGUUGCGAAACCUCGGUUGCCCGUCGUGUGCGGUCGUCGCGCAUCGAGGGCUCGAAAAAAUUGCCGGGCUCCGGCUCGGCUUUCAACGCGACCCCAGGUCAGGCGGGGUUACCCGCUGAAUUUAAGCAUAUCAAUAAGCGAGGA